This is a long non-coding RNA of Mercenaria mercenaria, 3221 nucleotides long. RefSeq lists it as uncharacterized. Lineage: Eukaryota; Metazoa; Mollusca; Bivalvia; Venerida; Veneridae. The transcript is spliced from 2 exons. The record is from RefSeq and is a predicted model, not a curated record.
UGCGAAUGAGAAUAACCUACUUAAGGGUAACUCUUUACGCAAAAAGGAGGUUCUGUAAUACCUUAUCCUGAAUUUAAGAAACCUUGAAGCUCAUUUUACUACAUAACGGAAACACGGCUGAAAAGCGUUGUGAACAAAUAGCCGAAGUUCACCUUUUCUUCAAAUAUUCAAUGUCUUUCAGUUCCAGAGCUCUCCGAAAUUCAGAACGACAGAUUCAAACGUGGCCCAGCUAUGGCUGGACUGGAAAACUUAGACUUUAUGACUGGAAUAUUUUCAAGGCUGCCUUUUAGAACGAAUGCUGCAUUGUCAGACAUACGCGAACGUAUGCGUGCAGCUGGUCGAAAACGAAAAUAAAAAAGAAAGAAGAUUAGGACAAACAUACAUCACGAUGACAGAUCGGUACGAACAACUGUUAUAUAUACUGUGCAUGUACAUCGAUGGAGUCUUUCUAAAAUGGUUAAUUGAUAUCGUAUUUUUUAUAGGAAACGGGACACUUACGACUUUUCAAGUUAUAUAUUAAAUUAUCAUUAGGCAUAAUGAAAAUGCUAUAUUCUAACAGGAGCAAACAUAUACUUCGCAACACACCAAAUCUCCAGUUAUAAAGAAAGCAAUAGUCAUGAAUUGUGUAUAUGGUGCGAUUGCAAGACUUCUUUGUUAAUAUGGAACUAAUUUAAAAGUGACACAUUACUUAUAGUGACAAAAUUCCUUAUACUUCUAGUUUUUAUACUUUUAAAUUGUACCGUUAAAUUGUUAACAUGACAGUGAUGUUUUGUUUAUUGUUAUUUCUUUGAUUGACGAAUUACUUAUAACGUGUUCAUUUCAUAUUAAUGUAUAUAAGUUAAGAACGUUCCGAUGAGCAUGUUCUAAUGGAGAGAUGGACAGAUAGAUUUACGUAUUAUAAAGUAAUAAAGCCAGUUGUGGACAGAAACUUAAUGAUUUCUUUGUGACACAGCUAGUUACAGUCAAACUCGCUUUAUACGAACUCUUCGGGACCUUUGAAAUAUGCUCGUGUCAAACGAAAUUCGUAUUAACGAAUGUAUGACUCCCGGAUAAUUUGCCCGAGCAAGUAGGGCAGUAUCACCGGUAUCGCCGGUGAAUAGCUUCUGAUAAAUAAAAAUACAGUAGUGAAUAGAUGUUCAUUAGUAGUUUUAAUUGAUCAAGUGAGUGUAUUCAGUUAACAGUGAAACAAGUCAACAAAAUUCAUACUUAAACACGUAAAAAUGUAUGAAAAAUAAAUUUUAAUGUACAAAUGUAUUGAAUCAUCAAGUGUUUAUAGCACAUAUAGAUCUAGCACAUAUAGAUACACAGGAAACGUACAAUGAAAUUAUAUUUUCAUGGACAGGUGUACAAAUGACAGUGAUUAUCGCUCAACUGCUAAAGACAUUAUUACUUGAACUCGAUUGUGAUGAAUAAAAUAACUGCAUGCAUAGUGUUAAUCUCUUUAUUAUGUAUUUAUCGAUUACAGGUGAUAAUCACUUCGACUAAAUAUCGGCACUGUACGGAUUCAAACUGUUAAAAGAUCAAGCGAAGCAAAAAUAUGGCCGCCGACAUCUAAAAAUAGUUCGUAUCAAAAAAUGGAAACUUGUAACAUUUUAGCUCAUUGGGACUUCCAAAAUGUGUUCGUAUCUCCCGAAAAUUCGUAUGAAGCGAGUUCGCUAUUACCGAAAUAAUUUUACAAAGAAAUAGAAGGACUCAGCCGGGGAAUCCGGGUUUUGUUCGUUUUUGCCGAAAAUUCGUAUCAAGCGAGUUCGUAUUAAGUGGACUCGACUGUAUUUCAAAGUGGCCAAGUAACCAUAGAAACGGAAUUCCAACGGUCUGUUUCAUUAUUUCAGUAUAUUUGGUACAUUAGUUCUCUUUAUCCCACGUAAAAGGUAAAGCAAACAAAAACAGUUGUAUAUAGCUUAUAAGACCGGAGGACAUGUGCGUCAAAGUUACGCGUAAACAGCCCGCUGAAGUGUCUCAGAAACUCCCUAAGUUCGGUAUGUUACUAAUUCAACCUGUUGUACUAUAAAAACUAUUCAUUUUUGUUGACUUUUUGUCUAACUGCAUGCAAAAGUAUUUCUCUAAUGAACUGUAGAGGACUUAUUUCGUGAAUUUCGUGGUUGAGUCAUGAGUGAAAUAUACCAAAGCCUAAUGAACAUGCAGAAUUUCCAUUCAUUUUGUCUACGCGAAUUAAUAUCCCAAUGAAAUUGUCAUUUCGGCCAUGACACUUCAUAACAAAGAAAUGUAAUGAUUUUACAUAUAUGAGAACUUUGGCGUUAUUUUGGUCAAACAUGAAUACCAUGAAGAGAUUUUGUCAAAAUGCUAUUAAAAGCAUUACAAGAGUUCUAUUACAAGCAUACGACUGUUCCACUCUUUGUAAAUACUAAUGUACCAUGCAAUCUCAUAAAAAAUGGUAGCUUUAACUGAAAACAUUUUUAUGGAAAAAAAAAAUUGUUUAAUUUGCACAUAACAAAAACAAGAUUAUUAAUUGUCUAACAAUAAAAUUAACAAGUACACUUUGUAGAUCAAGGAUCAUGUAUGUGAAGUGUUGUGGAUUCUAUUGGAUAACACUUUGAAAAACAAUGGCAUAGAAUUUUUAGACGAAUAAGCAGUUUCCCAUUUGAACCUAAUUUUGUUCCACUCAUUAUUCAUUUUUAGACUUCUAUGAACGAUGUUCUAGGAACACGUAUAAGCACAGACUUUAAUCAUUUACAAUAUUAUUGAAGAUGAUAAUUCUAAAUUAAAUAAUCAAAAGAUUAUUAAAAGAGAUAAGAGAUUUGAUAAACAAGAACUGGUGCAUAUUUUCUUAGAGUCAUGCCGCCAAUAAAGCAGCCAGGAUGGAACUACGGACAUGUGAAACUGUAUACACGUACAUAGUGGCUGAGCACAUGUACACGGUGACACAAUCGAAUGCAAUAAUAACAAAGAAGUUACCAAAAAAAUCAUAAAACAUACAUGAAGAAGAUACACAGUAGGAUACCGCCUUUACACGGUCACUGGCAAAAACAGCAAUAGGGAGUUUAAUUUAGUUUACUGGCGCCAAACCUCACCCUAAACCCUACCAUGUUACUUUUUAACAAGCCAGUGUGCCCACCCGUUGAAUCCCUAACCUCUCCCGAAUUUCGCUUUGCUAUGCUUUAAAUAUAUUCAAUAUUGUUCUUUACUAAAUGUGUCAUUUAUUUGCCUUUUUGUAGUAAUUGCUACCAUUUCUAGAGAAUUACAAUCAAUCCUAAAACUUA